Molecule: ribosomal RNA, 276 nt
Filed under: uncultured bacterium
Lineage: Bacteria
Description: partial 16S ribosomal RNA
Source: RNAcentral
CUGCUGCCUCCCGUAGGAGUCUGGUCCGUGUCUCAGUACCAGUGUGGGGGACCUUCCUCUCAGAACCCCUACGCAUCGUCGCCUCGGUGGGCCGUUACCCCGCCUACUGCCUAAUGCGCCGCAUGCCCAUCCCUGUCCGGCCGAAGCCUUUUCCUGCCUCCGGGAUGCCCCGGUGGCAUGUACGCGGGUUUAGCCCGCCUUUCGGCGGGUUGUCCCCCUGACAGGGGCAGGUUGCAUACGUGUUACUCACCCGUGCGCCGGUCGCCGGCGGAGAAA